GAUGAACGCUGGCGGCGUGCCUAACACAUGCAAGUCGAACGGAAAGGCCCUGCUUGCAGGGUACUCGAGUGGCGAACGGGCGAGUAACACGUGGGUGAUCUGCCCUCCACUUCGGGAUAAGCCUGGGAAACUGGGUCUAAUACCGGAUAGGAGAUAUUUUUAGCGUGAUGGUUCGAAAGUUUUUUGGGUGUUGGAUGAGCUCGCGGCCUAUCAGCUUGUUGGGGGGGUAAUGGCCUACCAAGGCGGCGAGGCGUAGCCGCCCAGUGGGGGUGGACGGCGACCUAGAGACCGAGGUAAGGCACAGGCUGCGACGAGUGGCAAAUGGGGGGAAGAUUGAACAAUCGACGCCGGCCUGGUGAAGAAGGGCCGCGGGUGGGAUAACGGCCUUCGGGUUGUAGAAUACUUGCGCUAGGAACGAAGCUUGUUGUGACGGUACCUAAAUAAGAAGCACCGGCUAACUACGUG
This 465-nucleotide ribosomal RNA is filed under the name uncultured bacterium. RNAcentral's name for it is "partial 16S ribosomal RNA". It matches the Rfam family "Bacterial small subunit ribosomal RNA", at positions 28 to 507 of the family's 1533-position model. The record is from RNAcentral.